This 253-nucleotide ribosomal RNA is filed under the name uncultured bacterium. Its description in RNAcentral is "partial 16S ribosomal RNA". It matches the Rfam family "Bacterial small subunit ribosomal RNA", at positions 524 to 776 of the family's 1533-position model. The record is from RNAcentral.
UACGGAGGGUGCGAGCGUUAAUCGGAAUUACUGGGCGUAAAGCGCGCGUAGGCGGUUUGUUAAGUCGGAUGUGAAAGCCCCGGGCUCAACCUGGGAACUGCACCCGAUACUGGCCGACUUGAGUGCGAGAGAGGGAGGUAGAAUUCCAUGUGUAGCGGUGAAAUGCGUAGAUGUAUGGAGGAAUACCGGUGGCGAAGGCGGCCUCCUGGCUCGACACUGACGCUGAGGUGCGAAAGCGUGGGUAGCAAACAGG